AUGACAGAGAAAGGGAUUGCAGAGGAGUCUUUGGAGGGGCUCCUGGUGACAGGUUCAAAAUGAUGUGGUGCAGAGUCGGGCUCCUGACUGGGUAAAACUAUUUCACUGCUGUUAAUGCAGUAACCACAAGAGAAGAUCAGUAACCAUUUACAAGGCAGCAGGCAGAAGAGUGAUGGUAUACUCUCCAUUUUCCUGGAUGAAUGCAGCUCCAAAAACUUGCAAGAAGCUCGACAUGAUCCAGGACAAAGCAGCUCCUUGGAUUGGCACCUCAUCAACCGCCAUAAACAAUGACACAUGUUAUUGCCAAUGCAUACUGUAUCACAUACAUGCGCUGCAAUUUGCCAAGGCUCCCUCAGCAGCAUCUUCCAAACGUGCAACUUCAACCACCUGGGGCAUAGGUUUCCCUCAAAGUGACACAUCGUCCAGACGUGGAAAGAUAUCAAAGUUCCUGUUGCUGCAUCAGCAUCCUCUCCAACACCUAUGUGAAUGCACCAAUAUUAACUGGACUGCGCCAAUUCAAGGUGUUUCAUCAUCAUCCUCUCAAAGGGCAAGUAAGGAUGGGAAAUAUGGGCUGAGUCUUUCCAGUGAUAUCCACAUCCCAUGCACACAUAAAAUAAACAUUGUGACUGAUGGUUUA
Molecule: long non-coding RNA, 637 nt
Organism: Rhincodon typus (whale shark)
Lineage: Eukaryota; Metazoa; Chordata; Chondrichthyes; Orectolobiformes; Rhincodontidae
Exons: 2
Source: RefSeq, a predicted model, not a curated record